Molecule: ribosomal RNA, 254 nt
Filed under: uncultured bacterium
Lineage: Bacteria
Description: partial 16S ribosomal RNA
Rfam family: Bacterial small subunit ribosomal RNA
Source: RNAcentral
UACAGAGGGGGCAAGCGUUGUUCGGAAUUACUGGGCGUAAAGGGCGCGUAGGCGGCCUGCUAAGUCGAACGUGAAAUCCCUGGGCUCAACCCAGGAACUGCGUCCGAUACUGGUUGGCUUGAAUCCGGGAGAGGUGAGUGGAACUGCGAGUGUAGAGGUGAAAUUCGUAGAUAUUCGCAAGAACACCAGUGGCGAAGGCGGCUCACUGGCCCGGUACUGACGCUGAGGUGCGAAAGCGUGGGGAGCAAACAGGG